Molecule: ribosomal RNA, 167 nt
Filed under: Sebacina sp.
Lineage: Eukaryota; Fungi; Basidiomycota; Agaricomycetes; Sebacinales; Sebacinaceae
Description: partial large subunit ribosomal RNA
Rfam family: Eukaryotic large subunit ribosomal RNA
Source: RNAcentral
AGGGAAAAGCUCAAAUUUUGAAUCUGGUGUCUUUGGCGCCCGAGUUGUAAUCUAGAGAAGUGUUUUCCGCACCGGACCGCGCACAAGUUCCCUGGAACGGGGCGUCAUAGAGGGUGAGAAUCCCGUACGUGGCGUGGACUCCCGGUGCUCUGUGAUACACUCUCAAC